This 445-nucleotide ribosomal RNA is filed under the name Colaranea viriditas. RNAcentral's name for it is "partial 16S large subunit ribosomal RNA". It matches the Rfam family "Bacterial large subunit ribosomal RNA", at positions 1832 to 2601 of the family's 2925-position model. Lineage: Eukaryota; Metazoa; Arthropoda; Arachnida; Araneae; Araneidae. The record is from RNAcentral.
UUCUUACUGAUUUUAUUGUAAGUAACACCUGCUCAAUGAUUUUUAAAUAGCCGCGGAAAUUUAACUGUGCUAAGGUAGCAUAAUCAUUAGCCUUUUAAUUGAAGGCCCGUAUGAAUGGUGUAACAUUUCAAUAUCUUUAUUAAUUAAUAUAUUAAAAUUUAAAUUAAGAAUAAAAAUGUUCUUAUAUAUUAAAUAGACGAUAAGACCCUUUUGAACUUAACUUUAGUUUGGCUGGGGCAGCCAAAAAAUAAUAAUCUUUUUAUAAUUUUUAUAAUAAAUAAUCCAAUAAAAUUGAUUAUGAACAAGUUACCAUAGGGAUAACAGCGUAAUAUUUUUUAAAAGCUCUUAUAAAAAAAAAUGAUUGCGACCUCGAUGUUGAAUUAGUAAAACUUUAUAGAAGCAAUAGUUUUAUAAGUAAGUCUGUUCGACUUUUAAAUUACUACAU